Molecule: long non-coding RNA, 239 nt
Organism: Leguminivora glycinivorella
Lineage: Eukaryota; Metazoa; Arthropoda; Insecta; Lepidoptera; Tortricidae
Exons: 3
Source: RefSeq, a predicted model, not a curated record
AUUUGACUGUUGCUGAAAUCUCUGUCAAGAGAGGUGGAUACGCUUUCGUCGAUUUUCCUGACCAGUCUGCCGCAGACCGCGCCAUCGAUAAACUUCAUGGGUAUUCUUACUGCGGCCUACCAUUGAUCGUCGAACCUUCAGUAGCUAAUAAAAAAAGCGUGAAUGUCCUGAACCUGCAGAGCUCGAGCGCCACUCAGUUGAAAGAUAACAUCAACGAAUGUCAACCAGGCGGCUGGAGG